Molecule: unclassified non-coding RNA, 880 nt
Filed under: Hevea brasiliensis (rubber tree)
Lineage: Eukaryota; Viridiplantae; Streptophyta; Magnoliopsida; Malpighiales; Euphorbiaceae
Source: RNAcentral
GCUUUCCCCUUUCUGCCCUCAAUUUCUAUUGGCUAGUACUCCCCAUCUCCCACUCCUCAUUCGACAACACAACUCUCGCUCCUUCCCUCUGCUACUUCUGGUCAAAACCAACCAAACCCAUUAAUUCCAUACAAAAUUUUCGAUUUGCUCGGCUUCAAAAUCGCUCAGAAUCCGAUUUUUAUCCCCUUGUAUUUUCAUUAUCUCAUUUUCUUUUUCGUCCGUUUCCUUCUCUCUCACUCUCCCUUUCCCUUGUGGCCUCCCGGUUACCAUUUUUUGGUUUUGAUUUCUGGGCACCACAAUCACAAUGGUUGAUCGGGGAACUCUUUUCCCGGAAAAUCCUAAGGAAUCUGAGAAACCCAUUUUCUAAUUCCUCCUGUAUUCUCCUUAAAAGAAAAUUUUGAAUUGUUUUAACUUGUUAUUCAACAUGACUCGUCAGGUCCGAAGUCGAUCGAUGUCUCCAAACGGCAAGAGUCGGGCUUUAUUAACGGAGAAACCAACAGAAACGACGAAAAAAAUGGCGAAAACGACAACGAAGGGGGAGAACAGGGGAGACAGAAGUAUGAAAAUCAAGCGGUUCGGAGAGGUGGCUGGUGGGACAGCCGCAGAGUGCACGGCGGUUUGUUGUUGCUGUCCAUGUACGGUGAUGAACAUCCUGGUGUUAGCGAUUUACAAGAUGCCGGCUUGUAUUUGCCGGAGGGCCAGGGAACGACACCGUGUGAUGAAGAGGCAGCAGCAGACAUUGUUGGUCCACGCUGGGAGAAAUGAUCUGUGUAGAGAGGAAUUAGAGAGGGAAGUGCAAGCGGUCGCAGAGAAACAAAAGCCCUGUGGCGGCGGUGAUGACGAUGAUGGAAAAACGGAGGCCGUUGAUCUAGAAAAGGAG